Long non-coding RNA from Heterocephalus glaber (naked mole-rat), 1354 nucleotides. The record is from Ensembl. Lineage: Eukaryota; Metazoa; Chordata; Mammalia; Rodentia; Bathyergidae.
AGAUAGCUUUGCAGGGUGUGACCAGGGUAACUGGGCGCGGAGGACGCGCGGACUUCUAAGUGACCGGCGCCCAGAACUCAGAGCCACCGGGUUUGCGCUCCGCAGCUGGGGAACUUGGAGAGUUAGGAACGCCGAGGUGCAGGCCUCUGGGAGGGGCAUCGAGGUUGGACUGGUUGCUGAUGGACGACUUCUAGCGGCGGCGGCGGCAGCGUCUUCAGACACCGCGCAGGGACUCGCUAGCUCUGCGGGGGUCUCCCCCCCGCAACCACCCCCCACCCCACUCCCUGGAGUUUGGAGGGUCUGGGAGGAGUGGGGUCUCCCCUGCGCCCAAGGCCGAGCUCCGGUGCGUGUCUUGGUGUGGGCCGCGGGCCGGGCCAGGAGAGGAACCAGGACGCCUCUCCCACUUCCUCCUGUUCCUCCUGCUCUUGCCGCCUGCUCCCUCCACCCCUUGCCUGGUUCCCCAUCGAAAUCUGAAGGGCCUUGGUCACUCGGCCAGUGAUUUCCCCCACCGCUCCGUCCUGGCCGCGGGGAUGCAGACCCCUCCCCUCAAGGCCCCGGACCCUCUCCCUGUGCUCGAAGAAGCCUCGGCGCUGCGGUGCGCCCCUCCUUGCUUCUUUUUCUAAAGUGCCUGCUGAUACAAAAGCGGUUUCGUAAUGCCUUCCGUCUGCGAGAGCCGGAGGACCUUGGCUGACCUUUCGGAAACUGAUUGCAACUGCCUGUUAACAGCCCGUACUGACCGCACUGAGCGGAGCGGAGGACAAUCAUUUAAGUGACAGACGGCGAGGUGGCCCCGCUCAGUCGAGCGGCCUGGUUAAGCCCGCCCCUCCCCCCGGACAAACCCCCCCCCCCCCCGCCGCCGCCGCUAGUCCUCCAGCCCCCGGUGCACUUUGGGCUGUGGCGGGCGCUCGGGCAAGCGAGGAGGGCGCGCUCGCGAGUGUGUGUGAGCGUGUUUAUGCGUGUCCGCGAUUACCGACCGACGGGUUAACCCUUUCCCGAGCGGCCCGCCCCUUUGAGGCCAGGCGCUGCCCGCUUAAUCUCCCAUCUGCAAAAGAGGAAUAAAAGGGCCGCCUCCGCCGACUUUCCCUAAUGCGUAAACUGUACCCUUUUAGCGUGACCCGAGCUGCGUUCCUGCUUGCUGCCGGGGAAAGAUCCCACUCUCGGCUCUUCUGCCUCGGCCCUGUGCCCCCUCCCUACACGCACAGACAGCACAGAUUCAAGGAACAGCACGGGGACAGCGCAAGGGAUCCAAAGGCUCGGAGAGACUCGCGCAGCCAGCGAACGCUCGGCGGCGCCCCUCCCCCGCUCACCCGCCGCCUCCCUUUGUUGAUUCUCAGCUGCAAGCGCGGCAGGGCCU